CCUCCCUCUGUACCUAGACAGUGUAAACAGCCUGGUGUGACACAAAUUCUCUGGUCCUGAAUUUUUUUAAAGAAACACAUGUCGUCGUAUUUGACCCCACAUCAGUGGCUGACCGGAACCAAGUCAUAAUUCACAGUGAACAGAUCCAGCAGGUCGACUCGUAUAAAUAUCUGGGAGUACAUGUUGACAAUGACCUGAGAUGGAGAGUCCAUGUGGACUGUGUGCUAAGGUGCAACAACGACCUGAGCCCUAGGACCAUGCCUCAGGACUACCUGACAUGAUGACUCCUUGCUGUCCCCAGUCCACCUGGCCGUGCUGCUGCUCCAAUUUCAACUGUUCUGCCUUAAUAUUAUUGGACCAUGCUGGUCAUUUAUAAACAUUUGAACAUCUUGGCCAUGUUCUGUUAUAAUCUCCACCCGGCACAGCCAGAAGAGGACUGGCCACCCCACAUAGCCUGGUUCCUCUCUAGGUUUCUUCCUAGGUUUUGGCCUUUCUAGGGAGUUUUUCCUAGCCACCGUGCUUCUACACCUGCAUUGCUUGCUGUUUGGGGUUUUAGGCUGGGUUUCUGUACAGCACUUUGAGAUAUCAGCUGAUGGACGAAGGGCUAUAUAAAUAAAUUUGAUUUGAUUCUUC
Molecule: long non-coding RNA, 633 nt
Organism: Oncorhynchus keta (chum salmon)
Lineage: Eukaryota; Metazoa; Chordata; Actinopteri; Salmoniformes; Salmonidae
Exons: 2
Source: RefSeq, a predicted model, not a curated record